UGCCAGCCGCCGCGGUAAUACGAAGGGUGCUAGCGUUGUUCGGAAUUACUGGGCGUAAAGAGCAUGUAGGCGGAUGAAUUAGUCAGAGGUGAAAGCCCCGAGCUCAACUUGGGAACUGCCUUUGAUACUGUUUAUCUAGAGUCCGAGAGAGGUUAGUGGAAUUCCCAGUGUAGAGGUGAAAUUCGUAGAUAUUGGGAAGAACACCAGUGGCGAAGGCAGCUUACUAAGCUACGAUUGACGCUGAGACACGAAAGCGUGUGGAUCUAACAGGAUUAGAUA
RNAcentral lists this ribosomal RNA (279 nucleotides) under uncultured bacterium. Its description in RNAcentral is "partial 16S ribosomal RNA". It matches the Rfam family "Bacterial small subunit ribosomal RNA", at positions 506 to 784 of the family's 1533-position model. The record is from RNAcentral.